Dendrobium catenatum is the source of this 617-nucleotide long non-coding RNA. RefSeq lists it as uncharacterized. The transcript is spliced from 3 exons. The record is from RefSeq and is a predicted model, not a curated record. Lineage: Eukaryota; Viridiplantae; Streptophyta; Magnoliopsida; Asparagales; Orchidaceae.
GAACGAACUCCCGUCGUUGUUUCCGAUCAAAAUGUUGUAACUUCCAAUCUAAUUCGAAGGGAAUGUCCUCCGUGGAGCGAAGCCGAAGAACAACGACGAAAAAGAGAAGAUAAAGAAGUGAACCCUAGACGCCUCUGAGCGCACGAAACAGAGAAAGCUACCUUCACAGUUUCGUUGCACUCAUUUGCAGCUCGGCUUUCUGAGGUGAGAUGUGCCCCUGUUCGGUUCUAUAAGCCUAUAACUAUGAGGGUUUUAUAGAUUCUGAAGUCCGAAGGCUGAAGCAAUUGUUCAUCGGAAAAUGGUAUUACCUUUAUGUUUCUAAAAUUUUAUCAUCUUUAAUUUUUCUCUAUGAUUUUCCCAGAGCCUUUGUCCUGGCUAGGGUUUGCUUUUCCUUGUGAACUUGUCUUCUUCACCUUCUCCAACGAUGUCGAAUAGAAAGGGUUGAAGGAAGGAGAUUACAGGAGAAGCAUCUCCAACAUCUUAUAGCUCAGGUUUACCUCAUCCAUCAACACUAAAGAAUGAGGAAACUAUCACAGUUUCUAGUGAAAAAAAAAGCAGAUCCAAAUAGAGAUGUGCCAUUAUAGAAGUUUUAUAGAACAAAUGGUAAGAUAUCAAUA